RNAcentral lists this ribosomal RNA (285 nucleotides) under uncultured bacterium. Its description in RNAcentral is "partial 16S ribosomal RNA". It matches the Rfam family "Bacterial small subunit ribosomal RNA", at positions 333 to 629 of the family's 1533-position model. The record is from RNAcentral.
UUUCGCCUACGGGACGCAGCAGUCGAGAAUCAUUCACAAUGGGGGAAACCCUGAUGGUGCGACGCCGCGUGGGGGAAUGAAGGUCUUCGGAUUGUAAACCCCUGUCAUGUGGGAGCAAAUUAAAAAGAUAGUACCACAAGAGGAAGAGACGGCUAACUCUGUGCCAGCAGCCGCGGUAAUACAGAGGUCUCAAGCGUUGUUCGGAAUCACUGGGCGUAAAGCGUGCGUAGGCUGUUUCGUAAGUCGUGUGUGAAAGGCGCGGGCUCAAUCGCCGGCCGGCACAUG